Molecule: long non-coding RNA, 261 nt
Filed under: Elaeis guineensis (African oil palm)
Lineage: Eukaryota; Viridiplantae; Streptophyta; Magnoliopsida; Arecales; Arecaceae
Description: long non-coding RNA (EGUI_LNC079479)
Source: RNAcentral
CCAUCAUCCAUUCAUGGAUGGAAGAACCAAUUCUUUUUUGCUUCUUUUUCUCUUCCUUGGGAUUUUUCUUUCUGUUGGGGCGAUCCAAGAAUCGGUCCCAAUGAUAAUAGCCGAGUAAAGGUCGGUGAUCGGGAGGACUUUCAUCAGUUGAAGGAUAUGAGGGUCCCACCGCAGAAAGAGCUUGUGACCGAACAGGCCUUUUAUGACGCUGGCCUUAGUUCGGCCACCCAUCUAGGUAUAGUAUAGUCGAUCAUAUCUUAC